RNAcentral lists this ribosomal RNA (1204 nucleotides) under metagenome. Its description in RNAcentral is "SSU rRNA". It matches the Rfam family "Eukaryotic small subunit ribosomal RNA", at positions 503 to 1801 of the family's 1831-position model. The record is from RNAcentral.
UCUUUGUUGGAAUGGGCGUAAUUUAAACCCCUACGUGAGUACCCACUGGAGGGCAAGUCUGGUGCCAGCAGCCGCGGUAAUUCCAGCUCCAGUAGCCUAUCCACAUGUUGUUGCAGUUAAAAAGCUCGUAGUUGAAUGUCUGGGAUUAGGGUCAGCCGCACCGCGGCGAUCCUGCCCGCCCCGCCGCAAGGCGCUUUUACUGUGAAAAAAUUAGAGUGUUCCAAGCAGGCCUAGCCUGAAUACCUUAGCAUGGAAUAAUAACAUAGGACUGUCCGUGGUGUUGUUGGUUAGCAUCCGGCGGUAAUGAUUAAUAGGGACGAUCGGGGGCAUUUCUAUUCAGCAGUCAGAGGUGAAAUUCUUGGAUUUGCUGAAGAGAAACUGCUGCGAAAGCGUCUGCCAAGGGCGUUUUCAUUAAUCAAGAACGAAAGUCAGGGGAGCGAAGAGGAUUAGAUACCCUCGUAGUCUUGACCAUAAACCAUGCCGACUCGGGAUUGGUGUCGCCGUAGGGCACAUCAGCACCGUAUGUAAAAACAAAGUCUUUGGGUUCCGGGGGGAGUCUGGUCGCAAGGCUGAAACUUAAAGGAAUUGACGGAAGGGCACCACCAGGAGUGGAGCCUGCGGCUUAAUUUGACCCAACACGGGAAAACUUACCAGGUCCGGACGCAAUGAGGAUUGACAGAUUGAAAGCUCUUUCUUGAUUCUGUGGGUGGUGGUGCAUGGCCGUUCUUAGUUGGUGGAGUGAUUUGUCUGGUUGAUUCCGAUAACGAACGAGACCCCCGCCUGCUAAUGUAGUCCAGGCUCAAUGAGUAUUGGAUCUUCUUAGAGGGACUAUCGGUGUCAAGCCGAUGGAAGUUGGGGGCAAUAACAGGUCUGUGAUGCCCUUAGACGUUCUGGGCCGCACGCGCGCUACACUGACUAGUCCAACGAGUGUUUGUACCUUUGCUGAUAGGCAUGGGCAAUCUCUGAACGCUAGUCGUGAUAGGGAUCGAUUUUUGGAAUUAUUAAUCGUCAACGAGGAAUUCCUAGUAAACGCGGGUCAUCAGCCCGCAUUGAUUACGUCCCUGCCCUUUGUACACACCGCCCGUCGCACCUACCGAUUGAAUGGUCCGGUGAAGCCUCCGGAUUGGAUGCGCAGGCCCUGCCUGCUGUCCGAGAAGUUGGCUAAAUCUUACCAUUUAGAGGAAGGUGAAGUCGUAACAAGGUU